UACAGAGGUCCCAAGCGUUGUUCGGAUUCACUGGGCGUAAAGGGUGCGUAGGCGGUCGGGUAAGUCUGAUGUGAAAUCUCCAAGCUCAACUUGGAAAUGGCAUCGGAUACUAUUCGGCUCGAGGACUGGAGGGGAGACUGGAAUACUUGGUGUAGCAGUGAAAUGCGUAGAUAUCAAGUGGAACACCAGUGGCGAAGGCGAGUCUCUGGACAUUUCCUGACGCUGAGGCACGAAAGCCAGGGGAGCAAACGGG
This 253-nucleotide ribosomal RNA is filed under the name uncultured bacterium. RNAcentral's name for it is "partial 16S ribosomal RNA". It matches the Rfam family "Bacterial small subunit ribosomal RNA", at positions 524 to 776 of the family's 1533-position model. The record is from RNAcentral.